AGUCGUAACAAGGUCUCCGUUGGUGAACCAGCGGAGGGAUCAUUACUGAGUUACCGCUCUAUAACCCUUUGUGAACAUACCUAACCGUUGCUUCGGCGGGCAGGGGAAGCCUCUCGCGGGCCUCCCCUCCCGGCGCCGGCCCCCACCACGGGGACGGGGCGCCCGCCGGAGGAAACCAAACUCUAUUUACACGACGUCUCUUCUGAGUGGCACAAGCAAAUAAUUAAAACUUUUAACAACGGAUCUCUUGGUUCUGGCAUCGAUGAAGAACGCAGCGAAAUGCGAUAAGUAAUGUGAAUUGCAGAAUUCAGUGAAUCAUCGAAUCUUUGAACGCACAUUGCGCUCGCCAGCAUUCUGGCGAGCAUGCCUGUUCGAGCGUCAUUUCAACCCUCAAGCACCGCUUGGUUUUGGGGCCCCACGGCACACGUGGGCCCUUAAAGGUAGUGGCGGACCCUCCCGGAGCCUCCUUUGCGUAGUAACUAACGUCUCGCACUGGGAUUCGGAGGGACUCUUGCCGUAAAACCCCCAAAUUUUUUACAGGUUGACCUCGGAUCAGGUAGGAAUACCCGCUGAACUUAAGCAUAUCAAUAAGCGGAGGA
Molecule: ribosomal RNA, 599 nt
Filed under: Colletotrichum simmondsii
Lineage: Eukaryota; Fungi; Ascomycota; Sordariomycetes; Glomerellales; Glomerellaceae
Description: eukaryotic LSU rRNA
Rfam family: 5.8S ribosomal RNA (bases 228-381)
Source: RNAcentral